GCAAGUCGAACGGGAUCCAUCAAGCUUGCUUGGUGGUGAGAGUGGCGAACGGGUGAGUAAUGCGUGACCAACCUGCCCCAUACACCGGAAUAGCUCCUGGAAACGGGUGGUAAUGCCGGAUGUUCCGCACCGUCGCAUGGUGGUGUGGGAAAGGGUUUACCGGUAUGGGAUGGGGUCGCGUCCUAUCAGCUUGUUGGUGGGGUGAUGGCCUACCAAGGCGUCGACGGGUAGCCGGCCUGAGAGGGCGACCGGCCACAUUGGGACUGAGAUACGGCCCAGACUCCUACGGGAGGCAGCAGUGGGGAAUAUUGCACAAUGGGCGAAAGCCUGAUGCAGCGACGCCGCGUGCGGGAUGACGGCCUUCGGGUUGUAAACCGCUUUUGAUUGGGAGCAAGCGAGAGUGAGUGUACCUUUCGAAUAAGCACCGGCUAACUACGUGCCAGCAGCCGCGGUAAUACGUAGGGUGCAAGCGUUAUCCGGAAUUAUUGGGCGUAAAGAGCUCGUAGGCGGUUCGUCGCGUCUGGUGUGAAAGUCCAUCGCUUAACGGUGGAUCUGCGCCGGGUACGGGCGGACUGGAGUGCGGUAGGGGAGACUGGAAUUCCCGGUGUAACGGUGGAAUGUGUAGAUAUCGGGAAGAACACCAAUGGCGAAGGCAGGUCUCUG
RNAcentral lists this ribosomal RNA (663 nucleotides) under Bifidobacterium indicum. RNAcentral describes it as "bacterial SSU rRNA". It matches the Rfam family "Bacterial small subunit ribosomal RNA", at positions 57 to 731 of the family's 1533-position model. The record is from RNAcentral. Lineage: Bacteria; Bacillati; Actinomycetota; Actinomycetes; Bifidobacteriales; Bifidobacteriaceae.